RNAcentral lists this transfer RNA (72 nucleotides) under Rhipicephalus microplus (southern cattle tick). Its description in RNAcentral is "tRNA-Glu". It matches the Rfam family "tRNA". Rfam says of the family: Transfer RNA (tRNA) molecules are approximately 80 nucleotides in length. Their secondary structure includes four short double-helical elements and three loops (D, anti-codon, and T loops). The record is from Rfam by way of RNAcentral. Lineage: Eukaryota; Metazoa; Arthropoda; Arachnida; Ixodida; Ixodidae.
UCCAGCGUGGUCUAGUGGCAAGGAUAUCUGGCUUUCGCCCAGAAGGCCUGGGUUCGAUUCCCGGCGUCGGAG